GAACGCUGGCGGUGCGCCUUAUGCAUGCAAGUCGAGCGAAGCUUUUCAGUAGUUUACUACAGAAAAUGACUGAGCGGCGAACGGGUGAGUAACGCGUGAGCAAUCUACCUUAGUUACAGGGAUAGCCCGAGGAAACUCGGAUUAAUACCUGAUAUUCUUUACAUUUCGCAUGAAAUCAAAAGGAAAGGUCAGCCGAACUAAGAUGAGCUCGCGUUCUAUCAGCUAGUUGGUGAGGUAAAAGCUCACCAAGGCAACGACGGAUAGCUGGUCUGAGAGGACGAUCAGCCACACUGGGACUGAGACACGGCCCAGACUCCUACGGGAGGCUGCAGCAGGGAAUAUUGCGCAAUGAGCGAAAGCUUGACGCAGCGACACCGCGUGUGGGAUGACGGAUCUAGGUUUGUAAACCACUUUCAGGAGGGAAGAAAAUGACGGUACCUCCACAAGAAGCCCCGGCCAA
RNAcentral lists this ribosomal RNA (460 nucleotides) under uncultured bacterium. RNAcentral's name for it is "bacterial SSU rRNA". It matches the Rfam family "Bacterial small subunit ribosomal RNA", at positions 31 to 500 of the family's 1533-position model. The record is from RNAcentral.